GCUGUGAGGUGUCCUGUCGCAUGGUGAGCAAUAUGCCCACCAUGAGGAAAAUCCGGACAACGUAGAGCACCACACCAUCUAACGGAUGGGUCUCAUCUAGGUGAGAACAGAUAGUGUCACAGAAACGAAACCGCCAUGCCAGUUUUGCUGUCAGGGUAAGGGUGAAAACGUGCGGUAAGAGCGCACGCAUCAGUCUGGCAACAGAUUGAUGGGAUAAACCUUGUGGGUUGAAAUGCCACGUAUAUUUCGAGCUACGAUAAGUAGGUUGGGUUGCUCGCCCAAUUGUUUAUUGACAAUCGGAAGGGGUGGGCAGAUUGAUCUUGGCUGUGAAGCCAAGACUAGAUAAAUGACAGGAACUUACGCGAGAUGUAGGUGACAGAAUCCGGUUUAUAACCUCACAGUCUUU
RNAcentral lists this RNase P RNA (406 nucleotides) under Saprospiraceae bacterium. Its description in RNAcentral is "RNase P RNA component class A". It matches the Rfam family "Bacterial RNase P class A". From Rfam's summary of the family: Ribonuclease P (RNase P) is a ubiquitous endoribonuclease, found in archaea, bacteria and eukarya as well as chloroplasts and mitochondria. Its best characterised activity is the generation of mature 5'-ends of tRNAs by cleaving the 5'-leader elements of precursor-tRNAs. Lineage: Bacteria; Pseudomonadati; Bacteroidota; Saprospiria; Saprospirales; Saprospiraceae. The record is from RNAcentral.